This 468-nucleotide ribosomal RNA is filed under the name uncultured bacterium. Its description in RNAcentral is "partial 16S ribosomal RNA". It matches the Rfam family "Bacterial small subunit ribosomal RNA", at positions 28 to 507 of the family's 1533-position model. The record is from RNAcentral.
GACGAACGCUGGCGGCGUGCUUAACGCAUGCAAGUCGAACGGAAAGGCCCUGCUUCUGUGGGGUGCUCGAGUGGCGAACGGGUGAGUAACACGUGAGUAACCUGCCCUUGACUUUGGGAUAACUACAGGAAACUGGGGCUAAUACCGGAUAGGAGCUCCUGCUGCAUGGUGGGGGUUGGAAGGUUUCGGCGGUUGGGGAUGGACUCGCGGCUUAUCAGCUUGUUGGUGGGGUAGUGGCUUACCAAGGCUUUGACGGGUAGCCGGCCUGAGAGGGUGACCGGCCACAUUGGGACUGAGAUACGGCCCAGACUCCUACGGGAGGCAGCAGUGGGGAAUAUUGCACAAUGGGCGGAAGCCUGAUGCAGCAACGCCGCGUGCGGGAUGACGGCCUUCGGGUUGUAAACCGCUUUCGCCUGUGACGAAGCGUGAGUGACGGUAAUGGGUAAAGAAGCACCGGCUAACUACGUG